This 71-nucleotide transfer RNA is filed under the name Ovis aries (sheep). It matches the Rfam family "tRNA". Rfam says of the family: Transfer RNA (tRNA) molecules are approximately 80 nucleotides in length. The record is from Rfam by way of RNAcentral. Lineage: Eukaryota; Metazoa; Chordata; Mammalia; Artiodactyla; Bovidae.
UCCUGGCAGCUGAAACAGUAAAGAAUCUGCCUGCAAUGCAGAAGACCUGGGUUAAAUCCCUGGGUCAGGAA